Molecule: ribosomal RNA, 1548 nt
Filed under: Neisseria gonorrhoeae
Lineage: Bacteria; Pseudomonadati; Pseudomonadota; Betaproteobacteria; Neisseriales; Neisseriaceae
Description: bacterial SSU rRNA
Rfam family: Bacterial small subunit ribosomal RNA
Source: RNAcentral
AUUGAACAUAAGAGUUUGAUCCUGGCUCAGAUUGAACGCUGGCGGCAUGCUUUACACAUGCAAGUCGGACGGCAGCACAGGGAAGCUUGCUUCUCGGGUGGCGAGUGGCGAACGGGUGAGUAACAUAUCGGAACGUACCGGGUAGCGGGGGAUAACUGAUCGAAAGAUCAGCUAAUACCGCAUACGUCUUGAGAGGGAAAGCAGGGGACCUUCGGGCCUUGCGCUAUCCGAGCGGCCGAUAUCUGAUUAGCUGGUUGGCGGGGUAAAGGCCCACCAAGGCGACGAUCAGUAGCGGGUCUGAGAGGAUGAUCCGCCACACUGGGACUGAGACACGGCCCAGACUCCUACGGGAGGCAGCAGUGGGGAAUUUUGGACAAUGGGCGCAAGCCUGAUCCAGCCAUGCCGCGUGUCUGAAGAAGGCCUUCGGGUUGUAAAGGACUUUUGUCAGGGAAGAAAAGGCCGUUGCCAAUAUCGGCGGCCGAUGACGGUACCUGAAGAAUAAGCACCGGCUAACUACGUGCCAGCAGCCGCGGUAAUACGUAGGGUGCGAGCGUUAAUCGGAAUUACUGGGCGUAAAGCGGGCGCAGACGGUUACUUAAGCAGGAUGUGAAAUCCCCGGGUUCAACCCGGGAACUGCGUUCUGAACUGGGUGACUCGAGUGUGUCAGAGGGAGGUGGAAUUCCACGUGUAGCAGUGAAAUGCGUAGAGAUGUGGAGGAAUACCGAUGGCGAAGGCAGCCUCCUGGGAUAACACUGACGUUCAUGUCCGAAAGCGUGGGUAGCAAACAGGAUUAGAUACCCUGGUAGUCCACGCCCUAAACGAUGUCAAUUAGCUGUUGGGCAACUUGAUUGCUUGGUAGCGUAGCUAACGCGUGAAAUUGACCGCCUGGGGAGUACGGUCGCAAGAUUAAAACUCAAAGGAAUUGACGGGGACCCGCACAAGCGGUGGAUGAUGUGGAUUAAUUCGAUGCAACGCGAAGAACCUUACCUGGUUUUGACAUGUGCGGAAUCCUCCGGAGACGGAGGAGUGCCUUCGGGAGCCGUAACACAGGUGCUGCAUGGCUGUCGUCAGCUCGUGUCGUGAGAUGUUGGGUUAAGUCCCGCAACGAGCGCAACCCUUGUCAUUAGUUGCCAUCAUUCGGUUGGGCACUCUAAUGAGACUGCCGGUGACAAGCCGGAGGAAGGUGGGGAUGACGUCAAGUCCUCAUGGCCCUUAUGACCAGGGCUUCACACGUCAUACAAUGGUCGGUACAGAGGGUAGCCAAGCCGCGAGGCGGAGCCAAUCUCACAAAACCGAUCGUAGUCCGGAUUGCACUCUGCAACUCGAGUGCAUGAAGUCGGAAUCGCUAGUAAUCGCAGGUCAGCAUACUGCGGUGAAUACGUUCCCGGGUCUUGUACACACCGCCCGUCACACCAUGGGAGUGGGGGAUACCAGAAGUAGGUAGGGUAACCGCAAGGAGCCCGCUUACCACGGUAUGCUUCAUGACUGGGGUGAAGUCGUAACAAGGUAGCCGUAGGGGAACCUGCGGCUGGAUCACCUCCUUUCUAG